AACCAGCCCAGCCAGUGAGGAGCCGCUGCGGCCCUGAACUGUGACCUUCCCCCCCUGGAUUUUCCUUUAGAACAGCCCCUCCCUACUCCCCCUUUUUGUCUGUAAAGGCAGCUCCCCUCCUGUGUUUGCUGGGUUGCCUGUGAUUUCCCAUGGCACGCACAUCUCGAAUUGCAAUUCUUUGGGCUAUUCCUGAAUAAUCUCAUUUUGAGAUAAAAUCACGGGCAAAUUAGCUUUUAAAAUUUUAAUUAUUUCUUAAAAUAAGUGUUGGAGCUAUUUUAAUUUUCCAGCUGCUGCACGUUAGCCACAGGUUAGAUUUUAUUUUAUUUUUAUUGUAUUUGCUGGGAAAGAUUUUCCCCGGGCUAAUGUCUCUUGCCAAUUUUCCUCUCUCUUUUUUUUCCUCCCCAGAGGCUGAUCUAUAGUUGUGGCUGAUUUCUUACAGUAAUUCAUGGUCUCAGAAUGGAGGAGGGUGCAACGCUCUGUUGGGGUAGAACACAUAGCAAUUUCUUAAGACAUCACUGUCUCCCCCCUGGUUAUGUCCAUAGUAUGGAAAGUGGGAACAUUAACAAAUCUCAAGGGCCCUCCAAUUUGUUCUAUAAGGUAUGUGAUCCAUGUACACAGAGAACAGAUAUUUAUUCUAUAAGGCGCAUGAAACAUUUACACAAAGAACACUUUACGUAUGCAGAAUUGGUCUAGGGAAGGCUGAGCUUCUGAUGUGAUUUGAUAACUCUCCAGAUGCAGCUCUUACAGCAGGGUUGAGCUAAUUAAGAAACAGGGAACAUGCCAAACCUAAAUAUUUUUAUUAUCCCUCCUUUUAUAAAAGGAUACAGAAAACAUUUUUGUGAUUCCUAUGGGCCCUCUGAGAAAUCUCAAAAAGGCUUUGGAUUAAAAGGGAUUUUAAGACAUUACUCUCUGAAUUUAUUACGUGGUCUUGGCAUGGCGUACUGGGUAGAAUACUACACCCACCCUGAAGAGAUGGACACGUCCGCACCACCAGAUGUUGUGACUCUGUUACCCUAUAUGGCAAAAGGGACUUUGCAAAUAUGAUUAAGUUAGGGAUCUUGAGUUGGGAAGAUUAUCCUGGACUAUGGGAGUGGGCCCGAUGUCGUCACAAAGUUUAUCAAAGGAAGAGAGGGAGCAAGGGAGUCAGAGACAGACGCAGAGAAAUGCUGAUGGAAGCAGAGUAUGGAGUGAUGCAGGACGAUGAGCCAAGCGAUUCGAGCAGCUCCUAAAAGCCGGAAAAGGCAAGGACGUGACUUCUUCGCUGGAACCUCCAGAAGGCAAACAGUGCUCCUGACACCUUGAUUUUAGCCCAGUGAGAUCCCCUUUGGACUUCUGACCUCCAGAACUGUAAGAGGAUGAAUUCGUGUCGUGUUAAGCCACAUAGUUUGUGGUGAUUUCUUACUGCAGCAACAGGGAAUCAGACAGACUGGAAAAUCUAAAGAACCAGCAUAAAUCUAAAGAACUUGAUCACUUGUCAAGAGAUGAGCACGGGAGUCGGAGACCAAUGAAUGGAUGUAGCUUAACUUCCUAUUAGUCAGAAUUGCAGUUCAAUAUUUUAAAUAAACAUACACGGUAACAUAAUUGUCUU
Molecule: long non-coding RNA, 1588 nt
Organism: Equus caballus (horse)
Lineage: Eukaryota; Metazoa; Chordata; Mammalia; Perissodactyla; Equidae
Source: Ensembl